AGGGAAUUUGGUUAAAAGCCAAAACUGUACCAGCAACUGUAUUGGGAAUUAAGUAUUGUAUAACCAUCAGAAUUAAUUUUUUGAAAAGAAUACAUUUAAGAUGAACCAAAGUCAGAAUACCU
This 122-nucleotide non-coding RNA is filed under the name Spiroplasma taiwanense. The record is from RNAcentral. Lineage: Bacteria; Bacillati; Mycoplasmatota; Mollicutes; Entomoplasmatales; Spiroplasmataceae. RNAcentral also lists the same sequence under 1 other name.